CCUCUUCGUGCUCUCGGACACUUCAGCUGAGGGUCGCGACACGCCGCCUCCAGAGGAAUCUCGUCGAGGCAAUGAGGAGGAAACUGGCGAGACUCUGGAAGAAGCGCGUACCUCUCCAGCUGCCCGUGAAUCGAGUGUCAGGGCUUCGGAGCUCUCCGCCCUCAACGACCGUGAAAGCGAUCGAGAUAACUAGCUUCUCUUGUAUGUUGUUUCCUUUAAGUCCCGGAGGACGUGUGUUGUCGUUUAAACUUUGGCCCUUUGAGGCUUUUAUCCUGUUGUCUUUUCUUUUGAAUUUUCAACUCUUUGACUUUGAAUCAUAUCGACUUGUUGUCUUUAUUAUAUU
Molecule: long non-coding RNA, 343 nt
Filed under: Brassica rapa (field mustard)
Lineage: Eukaryota; Viridiplantae; Streptophyta; Magnoliopsida; Brassicales; Brassicaceae
Description: long non-coding RNA (BRAP_LNC009005)
Source: RNAcentral